Molecule: ribosomal RNA, 253 nt
Filed under: uncultured bacterium
Lineage: Bacteria
Description: partial 16S ribosomal RNA
Rfam family: Bacterial small subunit ribosomal RNA
Source: RNAcentral
UACGUAGGUGGCAAGCGUUGUCCGGAAUUAUUGGGCGUAAAGCGCGCGCAGGCGGUCCUUUAAGUCUGAUGUGAAAGCCCACGGCUCAACCGUGGAGGGUCAUUGGAAACUGGGGGCCUUGAGUGCAGGAGAGAAGAGCGGAAUUCCACGUGUAGCGGUGAAAUGCGUAGAGAUGUGGAGGAACACCAGUGGCGAAGGCGACUCUUUGGCCUGUAACUGACGCUGAGGCGCGAAAGCGUGGGGAGCAAACAGG